CAGCCGCCGCGGUAAUACGGAGGGUGCGAGCGUUAAUCGGAAUAACUGGGCGUAAAGGGCACGCAGGCGGUGACUUAAGUGAGGUGUGAAAGCCCCGGGCUUAACCUGGGAAUUGCAUUUCAUACUGGGUCGCUAGAGUACUUUAGGGAGGGGUAGAAUUCCACGUGUAGCGGUGAAAUGCGUAGAGAUGUGGAGGAAUACCGAAGGCGAAGGCAGCCCCUUGGGAAUGUACUGACGCUCAUGUGCGAAAGCGUGGGGAGCAAACAGGAUUAGAUACCCCUGUAGUCCCUGUCUCUUAUAA
Molecule: ribosomal RNA, 301 nt
Filed under: uncultured bacterium
Lineage: Bacteria
Description: partial 16S ribosomal RNA
Rfam family: Bacterial small subunit ribosomal RNA
Source: RNAcentral